RNAcentral lists this long non-coding RNA (3573 nucleotides) under Pelobates cultripes (western spadefoot toad). Lineage: Eukaryota; Metazoa; Chordata; Amphibia; Anura; Pelobatidae. The record is from RNAcentral.
GGUGGUUUAUCCUCCAACAAUGUGUUGCGCUCCAGAAGACCGAUGGAGUGAAUUUCCUUAUCUAAUGUAUUUUUGUUAUAACCCUUCUCAAGAAGUUUAUUUUUUAUAUGUAAGGAUUGGGUCUGAAAAUCCUGGAGAUCCCAACUCAUUAUCAAACAUUCGAGAGAGAUGCAAAAUAAAUUAGAAGCUGAACUGAUUGAUUUGGACUCCACCCCUUCUGUAGAUACCGAGGGGAGGGAAUUAAAGGAAAGAGAAGAGAUCCUACAUAAUAAUAUUAAAAAAAACUAGAUGAAAAAAUUGCAGAAACAAAAAAUAAAAAGUAUAGCAGAGAUAGGGAGGACAAAUUAUUAAACCCCUUCUCUACCCGUAAUAAAUUAAUAAGGAGAAAAUCACGCUCUCUCCCUCAAAAUAAGAUUAAAGGACUCCCUGAAAUAGAGUAAGAAAUAAUUCUCAUUCUAGACCAGCACCUAGGGAUCACUAUACAUUCCACUAUGAUAAUUCAACCAAUCCCCAUAGGACACCAAAUAGAGAAAGACAUGGGGUCUUUCUCUAUUUGUCCAGUAGAAUAUCUCAUGAUAGGAGGGAUACCACGAGAUACAAUGCUCAAGUUGUACGAAAUAAAACAGAUAUACAUGGAAACUCCACUCAAUAUAAUGAUCAGGAAUUAAAUUUUCAGGGGAGACCCAGAGGUCCAAAGGAAAAAUAUAUAACCAAUUACUUCUGCCCCAGAACCGAAACUUAGGAACAUCCCAACAGAUUUUCCUCUCUACAUCAAGAUUAAUCAAUGCCCCAAAAAUUCAGUGUCCCCUAAGGGAAAAGGAGACUGAUAAGGGUAUCUUCAACUUAACGGGGAUAAGACUAUCAGAUGAGGAGAUUAAUUUACUAUCUAAGGGAAUGAAAUUUGCCCCUAAUAAGAUGUCAAAUUAAUUUCAUCUUUAUAUAGAUCUUAAGAAGUUUAUCCGUUCUUUGACUAUCAAAAGACACUUUCUCUUGCAUUCCUCUAGUCCACAUGUAACCACCAAUGCCGUACAAACAAAGGCUAAUUAUAAAUUCCAACCUAAAUCACACUUCUUCCCUAUCCAGAGAAAAUUUCCUUUUUUUGGAAACCUUCGAACGUAUGGUUGACCAGACAUUCCAAUCUUUUUCCACAAGGGCAAAUAAAAACUUGCGUUCCUUCAAUCUCACUAAGAGGGAAGAAAUUAUUCUGAAGAAUUUUAUGGAACGGGAUGAUCUGGUCAUUAGAGAAGCAGACAAGGGGGGUGGUAUAGGUUUGAUGACCACCUCAUAUUAUCUGAAGUCAUUUAACAUACUGGGGGAUAGAAAAACAUAUACUAUUCUUCACUGUAACCCUACUAUCUCUUUUAAUUCAGAAUUUCAGAAAAUCUUGGUUACUGCUAAAGACAGUGGGAUUAUUUCACAAAAAGAAUUUAGAUUUGUUUUUGUUUCAAAAAAUCCUGUUAUCCCUAUUUUUAAUUUUCUUCCUAAAACCCAUAAACGUCUCCCCAAUCCACCAGGUCACCUCAUCAUUAGUGGGGUAAAUUCAUUAACUGCGAAUUUGUCUGCCUAUGUGGACUCUUUUCUUCAGAAAUAUGCCCAAGGGGCACCUUCGUACAUUAGAGAUACCAAGUCCUUUUUACAGGAACUAGAAAAUAUAGAGUGGGAUCCGGAAUACAGUUGGGCAACAUUGGAUGUGACCUCCUUGUAUACUGUGAUCAGCCACGUAUCGGGAUUGGAAGCACUUGAUUACUAUAUGACCAGAGAUACUGAGUUACCUAUGAGUCAGAAGGAAUUUAUUUUAUCCUCUGUUCAAUUUAUUUUGGAGCACAAUUAUUUCUUUUUCAAUGGUGGAUAUUAUUUACAGACCACGGGGACAGCCAUGGGCACCAGGUUUGCCCCCAGUUAUGCCAACACCUACAUGAGGAGAUGGGAGGAAUUGUUCGUGUGGUCGGGGCAUGGCUGAAGGGAGAGCCUGGUGCUUUGGCGGUGUUAUAUUGACGAUGUUAUUAUUAUUUGGAGGUGGUCUUAAAUUUAGUUUUCAGGAUUUUGUUAAAUAUCUUAAUUCCAAUUGUUAUAACAUGGUUUUCACCCCAGAAUGGAAUAAAAAUGCAAUCCAUUUCUUGGACCUUGCUAUAUUAUGAGAUCAGCGCCAGAUUUUAACUAAAUGUUUCUUCAAGCCAACCGAUGGUAAUGGCUUUGUACGGCAACAAAGCUGUCACCAUAUACCUUAGCUGAAGGGUAUAGCCAAGAGCCAGUUUACAAGCCUUAGGCGCAACUGCUCCCAUCUCCAGAAUUUUCAGACCCAAUCCUUACAUAUAAAAAAGAAACAUGGGGGCGUGGCCGACCGCGGAGCUGCAUGGAAGUGCACUGAGAGAGCUCCCUGCAGCCCUAAAGCAAAUCCACACUAAUCGGAGACUAAAAAUAUGAUAUGGGUAACCAAAAGAGGCAAGGAGGUACCCAGGAGAAGGCGGGCAAGACCCCGAACCCAAAAUCAGGCACUUUAAACAGUUUUUUUAAAGAAUCGGCAGACCGCGAGGCCGGAGCUGGAAUAAACGAAAUGGCGGCGACAGGCAAUGAAACGGAGGUAGAGCCGGCCAGCCCUGCACCCUCUGACAUGUCGAGCAGAUCCCAGGAUACAGGGAGAGAAGAUGACAUCAGGGAGAUACUGAAAUCUCUGCCAUCGAAAACUGAUCUGGCUUGCAUGCUGGGUAAGCUAGAGACAACAUUCCAAAUCAAAGUGGAAAAGAUAGAGGCAGAAGUUCAGCAGGUGAAUCAGAGGGUGACAGAUAUGGAGGAAGAGAGAGAUGUUAUGCAGGCCCAAAUCACCAACCUCGCAUCCACAAUAGACUCCCAAACACUUGCACUUGCAGGAUUCCAGAGAUAUGUCGAUGACCUGGACAAUCGCGGCAGACGAAACAAUUUGAGAAUUCGUGGUAUACCAGAAAACCAGGGAGGAGAUAUCCCUGCAGUGCUUACCGAGCUUUUUAACUUAAUUCUAGAGAAGCCAGUGAGCAAUGUGAUCCUUAUGGACAGAGCGCACAGAUCUCUCCGCCCGAGAGGUGCAACACCUGAUGCUCCCAGAGACGUGAUCUGCAGAUUACAUUACUUCACGGUUAAAGAUGACCUAAUAAAAAAUCUGAGAGAGACAUCGCAACCCCUACUGUUCCAUGGCAACAAGGUACAAAUCUAUCCUGACCUUUCCUGGUAUACACUUCAAGCCAGGAGAAUGUUAAAGCCAGUCACGGAAUUGCUGAGGCAGCGAAAUAUCAAAUACAGAUGGGGAUUUCCCUUCGCUCUCAUAGUGAACCACAAAGGGACCUUACACACCAUAGCCUCAUACCUGGACGUCACCCCAUUUCUUAGAGCUAUGGAGUUACCUGACACACAGGUGAUGGACUGGAAUCAGCCACUGGUUAACCAAGCAACCAUUCCCCCCUCACAAAGGCAGCGUGGAUAUACACCCCUGAAGAAGAAGAGGUCUGACCAAAGGUUUCUCUCGGCAGCUAGACGGCAUCCACACGGUUUGAACGGACAAUACUGAUGAAAGACGACUUGGACAGUUUAGUACUAACGAAA